Molecule: ribosomal RNA, 427 nt
Filed under: uncultured bacterium
Lineage: Bacteria
Description: bacterial SSU rRNA
Rfam family: Bacterial small subunit ribosomal RNA
Source: RNAcentral
UGGGGAAUUUUGGACAAUGGGGGCAACCCUGAUCCAGCCAUGCCGCGUGCGGGAAGAAGGCCUUCGGGUUGUAAACCGCUUUUGGUCGGAAAGAAAGGCUCUGGGCUAAUACCCUGGGGUUUUGACGGUACCGGCAGAAUAAGCACCGGCUAACUACGUGCCAGCAGCCGCGGUAAUACGUAGGGUGCGAGCGUUAAUCGGAAUUACUGGGCGUAAAGCGUGCGCAGGCGGUUUGUUAAGUCCGCUGUGAAAUCCCCGGGCUCAACCUGGGAAUGGCGGUGGAAACUGGCGAGCUAGAGUGUGUCAGAGGGGGUGGAAUUCCACGUGUAGCAGUGAAAUGCGUAGAGAUGUGGAGGAACACCAAUGGCGAAGGCAGCCCCCUGGGAUAACACUGACGCUCAGGCACGAAAGCGUGGGGAGCAAACAG